GGGGGUAUAGCUCAGCUGGGAGAGCACCUGCUUUGCAAGCAGGGGGUCAGCGGUUCGAUCCCGCUUAUUUCCACCA
RNAcentral lists this transfer RNA (76 nucleotides) under Ruminococcus sp. FMBCY1. RNAcentral's name for it is "tRNA-Ala". It matches the Rfam family "tRNA". From Rfam's summary of the family: Transfer RNA (tRNA) molecules are approximately 80 nucleotides in length. RNAcentral also lists the same sequence under 1 other name. The record is from RNAcentral. Lineage: Bacteria; Bacillati; Bacillota; Clostridia; Eubacteriales; Oscillospiraceae.